RNAcentral lists this long non-coding RNA (1123 nucleotides) under Sus scrofa (pig). RNAcentral's name for it is "lncRNA (ENSSSCG00070018865.1)". Lineage: Eukaryota; Metazoa; Chordata; Mammalia; Artiodactyla; Suidae. The record is from RNAcentral.
AUGAAGACAAGAAUUCUACAUGUGCUGAGUGAAGAAAGUUUUCAGAGUAGGCAAUUCAAGAAACAAGAAACUGAUAAUCAUCAACAAAAUCUUGGCAAACAAACUUCCUUCAUAAUAAGAAGGAGAUACUCAGGUGAAGGUGAAAGAACACACAGCCAUCUAUAAACUUCAGCAUAAAAGAGCUGAAUAACAACACCAGUGUCCAUCAUCGUACCUCCCUGAAGGUGGGUGUUUAUGAGAAAUGUCCAGAGGACAAAAGUAAGGCAUGAAUUGGACAACCCCCGUUGGUAACUUACAUCCUGAAACAAGAGAUUUGAUUACCCUUAUCAUUAUCUCUGCUUGCUGAGCAGAGCUCCCAAAGCUAUUAGUGGUCAUAAAAUUACCCAGCUGUUUUUUAAAUUCAACCAUAGUAUUUGACUCAGUGACCUCUUCGGUCAAUGAAUUUCACAGGUUGACUAUACACAUUUAUAAGGCAUUAUUUACUUCAAUUUGUUCUGAAUUUACUGCCCCUUAUUUUUAUCAAGUGUCUCCUUGUCCUCAUCUUAUUAUGAGACAAGGUUAAAAAAAAAAGGUGUCCUUUGUAAUUCUGAAUGCUUCAAUCAAUGACUUUUCUAAAAUACACCAGAUUUUAGAAUCUUUUAUUAGGAAAAUGAAAAAUCUAGCUGUAUUCCAUCUAGUCUCUAUUAAUAUUUUAUUCUCACCAUGAUUUUUUAUUACUUGGCUGUGAAUUCAAUGCCUGUUAUACCUCCUCAUUCUAUUUCUUUCAUGUUACUAACAGCACAAGAAUGACAAUCAUGAAUAUGUAUCUUUUUCCAAUAAGAAAAUUCAGGUUUGUAAUGAUCUGAAAUGAUUAAAAUCUAAUAUGAUUUUCUAUUAAUUGAAAUAUUUUUCUUGGUAAAGCAAAUAUAUUCCAAAUACUUAAAUUUCAAGCUAACUGAACCAGAGCUUCCAUAAGUUUCCUUCAAUAAGGUAUUUUUGACAUUAUCUCCUCUAGAAUAGAUUCAUUUGUGAGAUUGUUCUGCAGUGAUUUGGAUCCACCAAAAUUAGAGGAGUGGAUAAGCUGAUUAUCUAGUCAUGUGAUUCUAUUGCAGUUCAUCUGAAUAAAGGAUUUUGUAUUUUACCA